Long non-coding RNA from Oryzias melastigma (Indian medaka), 803 nucleotides. RefSeq lists it as uncharacterized. NCBI's taxonomy places the organism in Eukaryota, Metazoa, Chordata, Actinopteri, Beloniformes, Adrianichthyidae. The transcript has 3 exons. The record is from RefSeq and is a predicted model, not a curated record.
AUCAAUGUGUAGCAUUGCCACAUAUGUUUUUUUUUUUUUUUGAACAGAAUAGGAAUGUCUUUUAAUGAUUAGAAAAUAUAUGUAUAUUUCAGUAAUGACUUUCCAUGUGUUAACCCAAGUUUAAAAGGUCUAGUAUGUAUGUUAUUUUUUUUGAGUUUAUGUUUGAAUGGUGGUGGACUUUUUACUACAUUUGAACAUUUGGACCACAAACAUGGCUACCAGGGGACUUCCUGUCACACAGGUGUACCACUGAUGACAAACAUUUCAAAAGGGAAGCGAGUCUCUGGGAAAAGGUUGGAACAGGCCUGACUAGAGUGAGGAUUCCGGAGUCAGCCACUCACAACGUCGACUGCUGCAGAAAACCUUUUAGUAUGGAUUACCGAGACAUUGGAGAAGAGUAUCAUUCAAUGGAAGAAGGUGGAAUUUCAGCUGCUAUUUGGUGAGACCUUCCCAUUCUUCGUCAACAGACAUCCGAGACCCUAACAGGCGUCUACAGGUGCAACAAAAAUGGCGAGCGAUGUCGGAGGUAUAAAGUUUGUCCCAGGUUAAUCAUUUCACUAAAACUAUCUGGCCGGAGAAGAUCUUAUCAGCUUCUAUGUCAUUCUGUAACCUAACCUGCACCCCUCACCCAACCACCUUCCCAAAGCUCCUCCUCGCCAACCACCAUGUCACACUCUGACUCCGCCCAUCACUGCUUACAAACAUUUCAGCAGAAAGACUGACUCAAAAAAGAGGAAUCAGCUAAUAACAUGAAAAUGUGUAUUUAUGAUCCCCCUUGUGUAAUAAAAUGUAUGGAAAUCCAA